CCUAAAGUUAAGAGGGACACCUCUAAACCACAGAACAUCUGACCAAAUAUGAUCCGUACACAAAGUACGAUCAACGAACCAAGUUACCCUAGGGAUAACAGCGCAAUCCUCUCCCAGAGUCCAUAUCGACGAGAGGGUUUACGACCUCGAUGUUGGAUCAGGACAUCCUAAUGGUGCAGCCGCUAUUAAGGGUUCGUUUGUUCAACGAUUAAAGU
This 215-nucleotide ribosomal RNA is filed under the name Hypentelium nigricans (northern hog sucker). Its description in RNAcentral is "partial 16S ribosomal RNA". It matches the Rfam family "Bacterial large subunit ribosomal RNA", at positions 2368 to 2594 of the family's 2925-position model. Lineage: Eukaryota; Metazoa; Chordata; Actinopteri; Cypriniformes; Catostomidae. The record is from RNAcentral.